UUUUAACGGCUGCGGUAUUUUGACCGUGCUAAGGUAGCAUAAUCAAUUGUUUUUUAAUUGAAAACUAGUAUGAACGGUUUAAUUUACUUAAUUAGUUUGUAAUUUUUAAUAGUAAGUUAAAUAUAAAGUAAGAAUUCUUUAAUAAAUUAGGGGACGAUAAGACCCUAAAAGCUUUAUGAUUGGCAUUUAAUUGGUGAUAGCGGUGUUAUUAAUUCACUGGGGCAGUGAGUUUAGGUAUAUUUAAGUAUAAUUAAAAGCUCCUUUAAAUAAAGAUUUCAUGUAUAAGUUACUUUAGGGAUAACAGUGCAAUAUAUUUGGGGAGACCAUAUCUAUAAAUAUGAUUGCAACCUCGAUGUUGAAUUAAAAUA
Molecule: ribosomal RNA, 368 nt
Filed under: Dikerogammarus haemobaphes
Lineage: Eukaryota; Metazoa; Arthropoda; Malacostraca; Amphipoda; Gammaridae
Description: partial 16S ribosomal RNA
Source: RNAcentral